Molecule: long non-coding RNA, 1386 nt
Organism: Hyalella azteca
Lineage: Eukaryota; Metazoa; Arthropoda; Malacostraca; Amphipoda; Hyalellidae
Exons: 3
Source: RefSeq, a predicted model, not a curated record
GUAUCAAGUAAGAAAAGUUUUCACGUAACAUGAUGAACGCAUGGGAUUCUUAGUUUACAUAUGCUACCCUAAAAUUUUUUGACCGUAUUCGAGUGCAACGAACCCGUUGUCAAUUGCAGUCCUCUUGAUGUCAUUAUCCAAGUGAAGUAUGGAAGCUGAUUUAUGAUAAGUGGUACGAGAUGCAUUAUAUGCAGCCCAGAGUUCAGUCGAGAGGCAGCACUUCAUCAGUGAGGUUGUAAAACUUCACCGUAAAACUUUCCCGAACGUUUUGCUGAAGUUUCUCGUUCAUCAUUUGAGACAAAACAGAAGCGCGGAAGGGAGCGUUUCCACUGAAGAUGUCAUCGUUGUUUAAUAAAACUUCAUCAAAUGUUAAAAUUCGCGAUGGCACUAAAGGCUUCAGUUUUAAUGUCGAAGGAAAAUUGCUGCAAAUUCUAUCGAGCAGCGCGUCAGGUGGAAGUGAGAUAAAGUGGUUUCGGUUGCACCUGGGCGUCUGUUCUAAAUCAUCAACAAUUAUGAAUCAACAUCAAAAAUCUUAUUCGAUCCGAGAGCAGAGAAUGAAACGGGAUAUGUCAUUGAAAUGGAUCUGGAUCAGCUGUGGGAAACGAUGUUGGGUUGCGCUGAGAGUGAUGGAGGAUCUUUGGGUGAUGUGAAACUGUACAAAGUUCCUCUGCAGAGGUACCAGGAUUCUCCAAGGCUUGACGCUUUUUUGGACGCCCUCGAUGCUUAUCAUAUGUUCGUAAUCUUGAGCAUUGGGAAAGCUUGGUGGUCUUUUGAGAGAUAUGACGAGUUCUUCUUGGUGCAAAGGAGUCUCCAAGAAAGCGCAGUCAGUGAGAAGUCAAUGAAAGAAGAUCGUGUUAAAGCCUCCUCUCAGUUGACAAUUACACCUAAACUGACUCUUGGUUUGAGCGAUAACCUGAAAAACGUAGAUGAUCUCAUCUCAGUUUGGAAGAAAACGUUUAUGGCAAUAAGUGAAAAGCCAUACGACGUCUUGCACAACAACUGCCAGGAUUUCGUAAAGAAACUCCUAUUGAAAAUGAAUUACAAAUCUAAAUUUUCCAAGUUAAAGAUUAUAUUUAUUGGGAAAAUUCCUGCCGAUAUUUUCAUGGAUCUUUGAAGAGCGAGUGAGGGGAGUAUUACAGAUCGCGGUCACUUGUUCGAAUUUGUCUUUAUUUGUGGUUAAGAGUAACGCAACAGCUGAGCUACGCCUUAGGCAUUUUGUAUGUCAUUUUCCUUCGUUUGUUUAUAUUACGGCAAAAUAUAGUUAGUUACAAGUGCUCUAUUGUCCUGUAAUUUAAUUUUUAGUUAUUCUAGAGUGGAAAUAUGCGUUUAAAAAUUACAUCUUAAUGACCACACUUCUUAAGAAUCCAGUAUUUUUGAUGAUACACA